RNAcentral lists this ribosomal RNA (434 nucleotides) under uncultured Lachnospiraceae bacterium. RNAcentral describes it as "partial 16S ribosomal RNA". It matches the Rfam family "Bacterial small subunit ribosomal RNA", at positions 341 to 792 of the family's 1533-position model. The record is from RNAcentral. Lineage: Bacteria; Bacillati; Bacillota; Clostridia; Lachnospirales; Lachnospiraceae.
ACGGAAGGCAGCAGUGGGGGAUAUUGCACAAUGGGGGAAACCCUGAUGCAGCGACGCCGCGUGAGUGAAGAAGUAUUUUGGUAUGUAAAGCUCUUUAAGCUGGAAAGAUAAUGACGGUACCAGCAGAAUAAGCCCCGGCUAACUACGUGCCAGCAGCCGCGGUAAUACGUAGGGGGCAAGCGUUAUCCGGAUUUACUGGGUGUAAAGGGAGCGUAGACGGUAAAGCAAGUCUGAAGUGAAAUCAUAGGGCUUAACCCUGGAAUUGCUUUGGAAACUGUCUAACUAGAGUGCCGGAUGGGUAGGCGGAAUUCCUAGUGUAGCGGUGAAAUGCGUAGAUAUCAGGAAGAACACCGGUGGCGAAGGCGGCCUGCUGGACGGUAACUGACGUUGAUGCUCGAAAGCGUGGGGAGCAAACAGGAUUAGAUACCCUGGUA